GCCGAAGUGGCGGAAUGGCAGACGCGGCGGUCUCAAAAACCGUUGAGGGCGACCUCGUGUGGGUUCGACUCCCACCUUCGGCACCA
RNAcentral lists this transfer RNA (86 nucleotides) under Herpetosiphonaceae bacterium. RNAcentral's name for it is "tRNA-Leu". It matches the Rfam family "tRNA". Rfam says of the family: Transfer RNA (tRNA) molecules are approximately 80 nucleotides in length. Their secondary structure includes four short double-helical elements and three loops (D, anti-codon, and T loops). Further hydrogen bonds mediate the characteristic L-shaped molecular structure. tRNAs have two regions of fundamental functional importance: the anti-codon, which is responsible for specific mRNA codon recognition, and the 3' end, to which the tRNAs corresponding amino acid is attached (by aminoacyl-tRNA synthetases). tRNAs cope with the degeneracy of the genetic code in two manners: having more than one tRNA (with a specific anti-codon) for a particular amino acid; and 'wobble' base-pairing, i.e. permitting non-standard base-pairing at the 3rd anti-codon position. Lineage: Bacteria; Bacillati; Chloroflexota; Chloroflexia; Herpetosiphonales; Herpetosiphonaceae. RNAcentral also lists the same sequence under 2 other names. The record is from RNAcentral.